CUGUGCCAGUGUGUCAGACACCAGAGGGAGAGAGGAAAACAGCCAAUACAAAAGGGAAUGAUCCCUGGCUCAAGAUGAGAAGGAAGGAGAGCUCUCUAUGUUCGUAGUCCAGCCAUAUAGGAUGCUUGGCCAAAAUGAAGGUAUAGAAAAGGAACAACCAAAGAAAGAACAGGACAUACUGGAUCUUUCUGGGUAUCAUCAAACUUCUCCAUCCAAGAAUAAGGGACAGCAGCAUCUCUUUGACAUCCAUAGCCCAUUUCUGCUUUGCCAAUAUCACUUGUGCAUCUGGGGCCACCAAUGCAUC
Molecule: long non-coding RNA, 304 nt
Organism: Homo sapiens (human)
Lineage: Eukaryota; Metazoa; Chordata; Mammalia; Primates; Hominidae
Exons: 3
Source: RefSeq, a predicted model, not a curated record